AACGAACGCUGGCGGCAUGCCUAACACAUGCGAGUCGAACGAGACCUUCGGGUCUAGUGGCGCACGGGUGCGUAACGCGUGGGAAUCUGCCCUUGGGUUCGGAAUAACAGUGAGAAAUUACUGCUAAUACCGGAUGAUGUCUUCGGACCAAAGAUUUAUCGCCCAGGGAUGAGCCCGCGUAGGAUUAGCUAGUUGGUGGGGUAAUGGCCUACCAAGGCGACGAUCCUUAGCUGGUCUGAGAGGAUGAUCAGCCACACUGGGACUGAGACACGGCCCAGACUCCUACGGGAGGCAGCAGUGGGGAAUAUUGGACAAUGGGCGCAAGCCUGAUCCAGCAAUGCCGCGUGAGUGAUGAAGGCCUUAGGGUUGUAAAGCUCUUUUACCCGGGAUGAUAAUGACAGUACCGGGAGAAUAAGCUCCGGCUAACUCCGUG
RNAcentral lists this ribosomal RNA (433 nucleotides) under uncultured bacterium. Its description in RNAcentral is "partial 16S ribosomal RNA". It matches the Rfam family "Bacterial small subunit ribosomal RNA", at positions 29 to 507 of the family's 1533-position model. The record is from RNAcentral.